This 458-nucleotide ribosomal RNA is filed under the name uncultured bacterium. Its description in RNAcentral is "bacterial SSU rRNA". It matches the Rfam family "Bacterial small subunit ribosomal RNA", at positions 339 to 794 of the family's 1533-position model. The record is from RNAcentral.
UUACGGGAGGCAGCAGUAGGGAAUCUUCCACAAUGGGCGAAAGCCUGAUGGAGCAACGCCGCGUGAGUGAUGAAGGUUUUCGGAUCGUAAAACUCUGUUGUUAGGGAAGAACACCCGGGAGAGGAUCCCGGUUUGACGGUACCUGACGAGAAAGCCCCGGCUAACUACGUGCCAGCAGCCGCGGUAAUACGUAGGGGGCAAGCGUUGUCCGGAAUUAUUGGGCGUAAAGCGCGCGCAGGCGGCUUACUAAGUCUGGUGUGAAAGCCCACGGCUCAACCGUGGAGGGCCAUUGGAAACUGGUAAGCUUGAGUGCAGGAGAGGAGAGCGGAAUUCCUGGUGUAGCGGUGAAAUGCGUAGAUAUCAGGAGGAACACCCGUGGCGAAGGCGGCUCUCUGGCCUGUAACUGACGCUGAGGCGCGAAAGCGUGGGGAGCAAACAGGAUUAGAUACCCCGGUAGA